GAACAGAUGCUGCCCAAGCCAAGAAUGUAAAUUUCUAUCUCUGGUACUAAGAUUGCAUUUUAAGUUUUUUUGGUCCGGGAAAAGCAUCUUCCCCUUUGUAGAGCCAAGGUAAAAAAGCACUUCCAAAUGUGACAAAAAAAAAAGUCUAAGAUAAAUUAUGCAUUAGCUUUCUAUGCAAAGUCUUUCAGGUGACAGAGAAGCAGAUGGUUUUUGAGUCAUGUGUACAUAUGUUUCUCAGCAGAGCUUCCUAUGAAAGUUUCUAGGCACAAAGAACAGUGAAAAGAUCAGAUAAAAUCCUUUCAAAGAAGAAGAGGAAAAGAUGCCAUUCUAGUGACAGCUUAAAAUACAUUAAUCAAAUACUGGAAAAGUUGUUCCAGCUUAUAUUUAAAGGUGAGUAGAAGUUUCCUGGACUGAGACACAAAUGAUUAUUGUGUCUUUUCCUUUUAGGUGAUCUUAAACAGGAUGUCACAGGGGGUCCCUGAGAAUAUGCUCAUAGAGUGACAGCAAAGGCCUUGAAAAUACAGGCACAGGAUGAUUUCAGAGGGAAAAGCACAAAUAUGAAUUAUCAAGGAUGGUCAGUGCAGGAUUGCAACCCUAGAGCUGGGCAGGGUUUGCUUCAGGGUGCAACAAAGAAGUUGUAAAAAAAGGGAACAAAGAACUUAAAUUGAACAGAUAAACAUCUCAUAUAUAGUGAAAAAAAUGAAAGAAUAAAAAAAAAGGAGGUAUAGAAAAAAAUAACCCUCUCCAGGACAGUGACUGCAGGAAGAGGAGGGUGAGAGGGUGUGCCCUGCACUGUGCCACCCCCUCACUCCAGUAGUAUUGUGCCUAGUCAAUACUUAUCCACAGCAGGUCCUCUCUCCCCUUCUGUGGAGAGGGAAUGCUGCUGUACUGAAACUAUCCAUCAAGUGUUAUCUUUUUGUUCAUGGGUUAAGUAAACCAGGAUUAUAAAGAGCUGUGCACACGUGCAUGUGUGGGUUUUCUACUCUAGCUUUCCAAAACAAAGUGGUAAAGACCACAGCACCUGAUCAGAUUAAAUGUGGACCAAAUCAAUUUUUAAAAAUUAAUUAAAAAUACAGAAUAUUUUCAAAUAAUUAAAAAUCUACAAAACCUCUAAGUAUUUAAAGGUUUAUAAAUGCUAUAAAGCUUCAGAUAAUGAAUAAAUAAUUCAUUACAAAUAAUUCAUAAAGGUGCAUUUCCUUGCUCAAGGAAUUCCUGAAAUGAAGCUUGGCAAAUGCAAAGAACCUAUGAAAAACAAAAAAAAAAAAAAAAAGAGGCAUUCAUUCCAGAAGGUUCUGAAUUUGACAAGUUUCUACCUUAGCAUGAGAAGAGAAUUAUUAUUCUGUCACUCCAUCUGAAUGAUACCAAGAUUCAGACGCCAGGCACAGCACCAGAGCACGAAGCUUUGCUGUACCCAGAGCUGCUCCUUGCUGCACCUGUUUACAAUCGAUUGCCUCAUUAUCAUUCACUCAGCAGGAGGGAACAGCUAAAUUCACAUCCAGAGAAAACUGAAAAUUCCUUGGCUGUAUUAAUGUCUCUUUCCUGUGCAGCCCUGCACACACCCUGAGUGCUGGGAGCUUUGUUGUCUGUGUGCUGCAUGGCAAAGAAUUGCACCACACAAGUCUCCAAGCUGGGGGGAUAGCAACUGGACAUGAUAGAGCACAGAAAUGAGAAGUUGUGCCCAUAUGAUGUGUUGGUAGUUUGUGGUUUUUUUUUUUUUCCAAGGUUUUUUUCUCCCCAAGAUGGAUACAUCUGAAAAAGAGCAAGGAUAGAAUAAUAUAUGGAGAGGAAGGAAGCAGGAAAAAUCAAUAUGUUUUUUACAAGUUUCCCUAAAUCACAGUAAACUACCAUCACUAUUUUAAUCCCUGCAGCCAGGUGGGCUCUGUGCUGCAGUGCAGAGAUCCAGAGUUUGGACUUCACACCAUGGCUUUCUGCUUCCUGGGCUGGCAAGGGUGAGAGACCCAGUCUUGCUGGGCAUGCAAGGUCAGACUGGGGGGGGGCUCGGAACAACCUGGUCUAGAUGAAGAUGUCCCUGCUCAUUGCAGAGGGUUGGAUGAAAUUAUCCUUAAAUGUCUCUUCCACCCCAACUGUCCUAUGAGUUUAUGAUUCACAGCUGCCAGGAGGGUUCCAGGCAACCCUCCAGGCACUCCCCAAAUUGACCUGGGGUGUAGCUUUUAGAGGUAGACUCCUAAACCCUUGGAAAUACAGUUUUUACAACUCGAGCAUCAUAACACCGAAACUGCUGUAGAGUUUUGUUUCAUUUCAUUGGUACUUAUGUUCCCCCUCAAAUAUUUGCAAUCCCUUAUCUCUGCUUGGAUUUACUUCUCUUUUUCUUUUCCUGUACACUGCUGAAAGUUAAAUUUAUUUGCACAUAGGGAGAGCUCAGUAAAUAGUUAAAUAUAUUCACCCUAAAGAGCCACAUGUAAGAAUCACACAUGCAGAAACUGGUAAUUGUCACAUGGAAAUAGCUGACCAACCACAAGUCCCAAAAUAGCAAAUACCUACUGAAACAGUUGUACCACUGGAAUAUGUUUGCAUAAAUUAUUCACAGAAUAAUUCUGAAUAUUGAAUGUGUAGAAUGUUAAGGCAGUCUGGUAAGGUCCACACAGCUGCAUUUUUCUUUUUUGUACAGAUUUUUAUCACGUCAUGAUAAGAUCAGUCCUGUGGUCUGCUCAUUUCUCUCCCUCCUCAAAGUCUUGCAGACAAAAGGUGUAACUGCAUGGCCCUGUCCCACAGCAUCCCUUGUAAGUCAGAGUCUGACCAAGUCUGAACACCACGAGCACCAAGGUUAAUAGGAGCAAAGUGGUUAAAUCAGGAUUUCUUCAUUAGGAAAACUGCCUGAUAUUAGGAGAGUCUAUUUUUUUGAUGCUGAAAAUUCUUACAAAAAUGAACUCUGAGAAUUGACUUGUUUUAUUUGCUCUCUUUGGACUCUGUUAUCCUUUUGGGUGCCUGGAUCCUAUGCUAACCAGUCUGUAUCAAUGUGUCACUUGCCCAAAAACUGCUCAUGUCUGUAAGGUGAGGUAAAGUACCAAAGGUCCUUUAAGAGGCAGUUUGACACCACUAGUUAUUUCCUAUGAUUGAUUCAGCACAAUGCAAAGGAACAAUUUAAGUUCUUUCCUAGACUGAAGGUACACAAGAAAAAUAAAUACUCCUUUCUUAAAAUUCAUGGUAGAUGAAGUUGAAGAACCUCUUCGUUCAUUGUGACCAGGAAUUUAAGUCUAUUCUGACAAGUGCAUUAAUUUAAGUCAAUGCAUCUUGGGUAGAAGAGGUAUGAAUCAACUAAAAAAAUUUUAAAAAUAUAUAGGGGAAAAAAAAUCUUAUACCACUUUUCCUCUACUGAUUCUCCAGCAGCAAGUAAAGAAUAGUAAGUGUUCUUCACACUGUUGUAAAUUUUCAUAUUAAUGGUGUUCCCUGAAGUACUUGCAUACCAUGAAAUGAAAAGAAACAAUGCAGGUUUGUGCCAAAAAAUUAACAUCUGACAGGUAGAAGAUGACAACCACAGAAGGAAAAGGUGGCAAAAAGCAGAGGUCAAGUGAAUAAAGGAGCCAACACAUUCUGAGGUGUUUCAGAGGCAGAAACUCUGUAUCAGUUAAGCUCCAAGAUUAGCUUGUGGCCACAUGCAAUCCUUAUUUUCACCUCUGAACUCUGUCCAGUGUCUCAGAAUACCUCUUCAUGGUACAAUAUCAGACCACACAGAGACCCUGAAUGAACUUGCUGAAAGUACUAAAGUAACUAAAGCCCUUCUGAGAAGUGUAUUAAGAACAUCACUUGAUCCUGGCUAGUCUGUGUCUAGUCCUGAGAGGAUGAUUGAAUAUAAAUCUCUCAAGCUCUAGUGAAAAUGUAGCCUUGGCUUCUCGUGUGCCAUCUGCAAUGUACAGUAUUUUUCCAUCUAGACAAAUUCUUAAUUGCCAUGACCGAUGCUGAAUUUUUCUAGUGUAUGGCUCAUUUACAGACCUAGUGAUGAAGGUAUUAUUUCAAUUAUCAUGGGAAAAGAAAUAUAAAUAAGAAUAAAAUCCCUUAAAGAGUCGGUUGGUGGAUUCACAGAAGUCAAUAAUAAAAUUUACCACUGAUCUGAACAUUACGAGAAGUUCAUCUUUACAGCCAAAAAUAUCCUUUCAAACAAGAUGGAAAGGUCAAAUUUGCAUCUGGAACUAAGUAGCUCUACCUGAAGUAAAUUUAUGACUUCUGUAGCUAUAAGGUAUAAGAACUUCACAAUUGUUAGCACAUUUAUCAAGUAUAUGAAUCAUCCCAUCUCCAUUUUUCAGGUACAAAUUCAAAGGUCCCACAAAAACGCCAAGGUACUUAGCAUCUAACCUUAACCAAUUUCCAUGGAAAAUAAAUGGACACCAUACCUUCAAGAAUCUGACACAAAAUUAUUUCCCUCAGGUCUUAUAAGUAAUCAGCUGCAGAAGAGAAAACUGAAUCCAAUUUUCCAAUUCAAGGCUGGCAACCUAAUCUCUGGACAGGUUUCCUCUCCUGUGUGUUAAAAGAGCAGCCUGGAAAAGAAGCCACAUUCUGCCCCUUGGUUGAGUCUUUGACCUUGUCAUAACACAAAAGAUCCAUGGGACUUCUUGGGGCAAGCUAUGAGAAGAGGAUAGGCUAUAGAUAUAUAUUUCUAUAUGGAGUAAAUAUUUAUUGUAGGAUCUUAUUGCUCAGAGUCGCUGGCAUGGGUAUUCACUGCCACAAGAAAUAUCACUAAUUCACCUUGGGUGUUUGGUUUGGUUUUGGUGUUUUUGUUUGUUUGAAGUCUUUUUCCCUCCAUACAAGCGUUAGGGAUCUCGGGGAUCAUGGCCCUGCCAUAAACCACAGUGGUGACUCCUCAAGGUGAGGCAGAGCAAGCCUUCCACACUGGGAGCACUGCACAGCAGCAAUCCCACAUGCUUUGCCCUAUUGCUGCUAAGAAAAACUGCUGAGUACCCCACGGGAGAAGGGGCUGCAUCAGAGCAGCAGCCUUCUUGAGCAGACAAGAUCUGCAAACUCAGGGGUAGAUUUAUCAUAGCCUUUCUGGCAUAUCUGUGUUCUCAGAGCUUCAUGCUUUCCUCCCCAAGGGACCCAGAAGAAUUUUGUUCUAACCCACAACCAAGACAUGAGCAGGAAAACACAUUUCAAGGUGAUUGUUGAAAUGUUUUCUAGGCUUUCUGCCCCACUCUGUAGACUUACUUGGGAGAGUGAUGUAAAGCACAGAGACAGGAAGGGCUCCUGUAAUCCCUGGGAUUUACAUGCAAAAAUCCAAUCCUUGUCAGCUCUGCCUUCUUCCUCUCUAAAGAAAAUGUAUGAGCCUGGAUUUGUGGCUCUAGGAGUAAGUUCUUUAAAUUAGUAAAGCCUGAUUAUUCAAUGUGGGAAAGAAAUCUGUUCCUUGGUGAGUUUAGGACUAUUGAAUAAAUUCCGCAGUCAAACACAAUCCUUAAUCCUUAAUUUCCUGAUUCUCAGUGCAACAGCAGAUUAAAGUCUAAUUGGUUUAUUUUCAAUUUAAUUUAUUUCACAAAAUCAGAAAGAUUGUUUGACAAUGAGUUCAGAAAUUACUUAAAAAAGGGCUCGAUCCCAAGACCACCAAAAUCAAAAUUUCCAAUGAGUUUUGGAUCACUCGCUGCAUGACACAAAUUUUUUACAAAUAUCUAAACACAUUUUGUUGUACAGGCAGAGUCUAGAAAAGCUCCCUUCUCCCUCUACAAUUGCUGCCUUAAGUUCACCCAUUGUUUCUUAAAAAAUUUCAAAAGAUAUUUUAUUUGGAAGUAAUUUUAUCAGCAUGUUUGGUACAUAGUAUGCUUCUCCUAUCUCUCUGUUUCAAUUACUACCAAUAUUAUCAUUAAUAAAUCACAAUUAGUUGCUAUGGAGAUAAUUAAGUCUGCAAAUAAAAUAUUUGACUUAGCUUCUGAAGCAAAUAAA
This is a long non-coding RNA of Taeniopygia guttata (zebra finch), 5883 nucleotides long. The record is from Ensembl. Lineage: Eukaryota; Metazoa; Chordata; Aves; Passeriformes; Estrildidae.